Argiope bruennichi is the source of this 464-nucleotide long non-coding RNA. RefSeq lists it as uncharacterized. NCBI's taxonomy places the organism in Eukaryota, Metazoa, Arthropoda, Arachnida, Araneae, Araneidae. The record is from RefSeq and is a predicted model, not a curated record. The transcript has 3 exons.
ACCAUAAUUACUCGUCAACAUCUAUUAAAACUGAUGCAGAAUUUCCAGCUAUUUCUGAAAAUAGAAAAGCAGAGAAAAUGAAGCGCAUGCCAUCCCGAGAUCGUCUUUCGUGAGUAGAUGGACCGAACAAAUCGAUCGCCAGAGAAUGGAACCAACCUGAGACAGCCUUUUGCAACGUUUUACUCCUCACAAGUAAAACGUUGCCACGCCAGAAACCUUUUUAAAGUGCAAAAAUAGAACAAGAAAUAUUUCCAGUGACUACUUCAGUUUUUGACAAAUUCUCUACCAGCAAUCUGGGUGAUCGAGAAACUUUUCUCAGAAUGGUAUCGUAGAGAUAACGAAAGCAAGUUUUCUGAAGCCAUAUGGAGGUAAACUACAUAUAAUUUAUGUGGAAGCGUCUAUUAAGACAGGAGCUUGUUUUCCAGCUAUUUCUCAACACAAGAAAGUUACCUGAAUGAUUCUGA